RNAcentral lists this long non-coding RNA (485 nucleotides) under Bos mutus (wild yak). Its description in RNAcentral is "lncRNA (ENSBMUG00000001695.1)". Lineage: Eukaryota; Metazoa; Chordata; Mammalia; Artiodactyla; Bovidae. The record is from RNAcentral.
CCGCUCCCCUGGGGCCCUGAGAACGUCACGUCCUGCCAGUUCACCUCCUUGACUCCAGAUACCGUGCUGGAGGCCGUGGUCUGCUUCUUCUCUGUCUGGUCCAUCGUGGGGCUCUCGGGUUUCCACACGUACCUGAUAAGCUCCAACCAGACCACGAAUGAAGACAUUAAAGGAUCUUGGUCAAAUAAAAGAGGUAAAGAAAAUUACAACCCCUACAGCUACGGAAACAUCUUUACAAACUGCUGCGUUGCGCUGUGUGGACCAAUCUCUCCAAGCCUCAUCGACCGAAGAGGGUACAUUCAGCCCGACACCCCGCAGCCAGCCGCGCCCUCCAACGGGAUGGCCACAUACGGGGCCACACAGUCCCAGAGUGACAUGGUAGGACCCGGGGUGCCCCACAAGGGCUCCUCUCCCGCAUCGGUGUUCACUGACCCGUAACACCCGAUCACCUAGCUUCCUAGGACACGCAUGGCUCAGGGAGGAAA